AGAGAUGCAUUGGGCGUAAAGGGCGUGUAGGCGGCGUGACAAGUCGGGUGUGAAAGCCCUCAGCUCAACUGAGGAAGUGCGCCCGAAACUGUCGUGCUUGAGUGCCGGAGAGGGUGGCGGAAUUCCCCAAGUAGAGGUGAAAUUCGUAGAUAUGGGGAGGAACACCGGUGGCGAAGGCGGCCACCUGGACGGUAACUGACGCUGAGACGCGAAAGCGUGGGGAGCAAACAGGAUUAGAUACCCUGGUAGUCCACGCCGUAAACGAUGAGAACUAGGUGUCGUGGGAGUUGACCCCCGCCGGUGCCGAAGCUAACGCAUUAAGUUCUCCGCCUGGAAGUACGGUCGCAAGACUAAAACUCAAGGAAUUGACGG
This 372-nucleotide ribosomal RNA is filed under the name uncultured Myxococcus sp. RNAcentral's name for it is "bacterial SSU rRNA". It matches the Rfam family "Bacterial small subunit ribosomal RNA", at positions 545 to 916 of the family's 1533-position model. Lineage: Bacteria; Pseudomonadati; Myxococcota; Myxococcia; Myxococcales; Myxococcaceae. The record is from RNAcentral.